Molecule: ribosomal RNA, 118 nt
Filed under: Catharus ustulatus (Swainson's thrush)
Lineage: Eukaryota; Metazoa; Chordata; Aves; Passeriformes; Turdidae
Source: RNAcentral
GCCUACGGCCAUACCACCCUGAGAACGCCCGAUCUCGUCUGAUCUCGGAAGCUAAGCAGGGUCGGCCCGGUUAGUACUUGGAUGGGAGACCGCCUGGGAAUACCGGGUGCUGUAGGCU